Molecule: ribosomal RNA, 253 nt
Filed under: uncultured bacterium
Lineage: Bacteria
Description: partial 16S ribosomal RNA
Rfam family: Bacterial small subunit ribosomal RNA
Source: RNAcentral
GACGAGCUACACAAACGUUAUUCGGAAUUACUGGGCUUAAAGGGUGCGUAGGCUGCGCGGAAAGUUGGGUGUGAAAUCCCUCGGCUCAACCGAGGAACUGCGCCCAAAACUACCGUGCUCGAGGAAGAUAGAGGUGAGCGGAACUUACGGUGGAGCGGUGAAAUGCGUUGAUAUCGUAAGGAACACCCGUGGCGAAAGCGGCUCACUGGGUCUUUUCUGACGCUGAUGCACGAAAGCUAGGGGAGCAAACGGG